Molecule: ribosomal RNA, 332 nt
Filed under: uncultured eukaryote
Lineage: Eukaryota
Description: partial 18S ribosomal RNA
Rfam family: Eukaryotic small subunit ribosomal RNA
Source: RNAcentral
CCCCUAGAUGUUCUGGGCCGCACGCGCGCUACACUGAACAGUUCAACAAGUCUUAACCUUGGCCGAUAGGUCUGGGUAAUCUUUGAACGCUGUUCGUGAUUGGGAUAGACCUUUGCAAUUAUGGGUCUUCAACGAGGAAUUCCUAGUAAACGCAAGUCAUCAGCUUGCAUUGAUUACGUCCCUGCCCUUUGUACACACCGCCCGUCGCACCUACCGAUUGAAUGGUUUAGUGAGAUCCUCGGAUUGGCCAUCUCGGCGUGACUUCGGUUGUGCACGUGGUGGCCGAGAAGACGAUCAAACUUGAUCAUUUAGAGGAAGUAAAAGUCGUANCA